GCUUCUCUUACGGCCUGUAACCUGACGUGUUUAACUAAAAAAGCUUCUAAGAAAGCCUUAGACUUCUAUAAUUAAAGAAAUCCUGGCCUAAGCAUGAUGUAGCCUAGGUCUUAGGCUCAUGUCUUUCUGACCUAUUCCUUCCCUAUUUUCCAUAUCUCACAAAAAUUAUCAAUACAUUUCAUAAAUAGAGGAUAAGGCCUCUUUGGGCAAUCAUUGCGAGAAACACACGGAAUGCGAGCUGCAUUGUUGAAUAAGAAAAAAAAAUGUUACUAAAAGAAGAUAUAAUAUUAAGUAUAAGAUAAAUUAGAAAAAUUGAAAAUGGUGUUAAAAUGAUAUACUUUCACAAGUUACAACAAGAAAUAGAGAAACAACGAUGAAUAAAGCAUAAAUAAA
Molecule: long non-coding RNA, 393 nt
Filed under: Medicago truncatula (barrel medic)
Lineage: Eukaryota; Viridiplantae; Streptophyta; Magnoliopsida; Fabales; Fabaceae
Description: lncRNA gene4064
Source: RNAcentral